RNAcentral lists this long non-coding RNA (349 nucleotides) under Gossypium barbadense (sea-island cotton). RNAcentral's name for it is "long non-coding RNA (GBAR_LNC007223)". The record is from RNAcentral. Lineage: Eukaryota; Viridiplantae; Streptophyta; Magnoliopsida; Malvales; Malvaceae.
AAGGGUUCAAAAAUGGCUUGGUUUGGAGAAUGGAUGGUUCGAUUUAACAAAGAAAAUAAAGUUUAAGUAGAUAGAUAAAAUGGAAUGGAAAUUGAACUCAAGCGAAGAACGAUUCAAUACUAUGUAAAGUAUUGCCCCGAGUCUUAUAUUGCUUAAGGUGAAUUUUGAUGAAGGAUAGAAGCGGACCUUGACCCGUUACCUAUAUGGAGGUAAGAACCAAAGGUAUAGGAAGAUGGUUGAACGCCACACCGAUUCGGUGAUAAGUUCAAUGGAGUUCGGAUUGACACCACUAGCAAGCUAGAUAAGUCGCUUCGAGACUCGAACGAAAGAAGAGAGGAGGUAACCUCAC